This is a non-coding RNA of Coturnix japonica (Japanese quail), 290 nucleotides long. Lineage: Eukaryota; Metazoa; Chordata; Aves; Galliformes; Phasianidae. The record is from RefSeq and is a predicted model, not a curated record.
CCAUGCUGGUUGUCUCAGAUCACCUCCUCAUUUCACAUGUGCCUUAAUAUCUCUUCCAGGAGGAUCCAUUCCAUGAUCUUUCCAGGCACAGAAUCACCAUAGAAUGUGUCUGAUGGCCACAACUUUUCAAAUACAAUGGAAAGCGCCUGGAAACCACAUCAAACUACUCCUUCAGGAUCCUAAAGUGAAGUUGUAAGCCUGAUUGCUCAUCCACCAUCAGUUUGUCACCAGCUAUGUCUUUGAGUUCAGUCACAACAAGCAGAAGCACAAGGGAAAGCCAUGAUGGCUUC